RNAcentral lists this ribosomal RNA (400 nucleotides) under uncultured bacterium. RNAcentral describes it as "bacterial SSU rRNA". It matches the Rfam family "Bacterial small subunit ribosomal RNA", at positions 355 to 772 of the family's 1533-position model. The record is from RNAcentral.
UGGGGAAUAUUGGACAAUGGGGGCAACCCUGAUCCAGCCAUGCCGCGUGAGUGAUGAAGGCCUUAGGGUUGUAAAGCUCUUUUAUCCGGGAAGAUAAUGACUGUACCGGAAGAAUAAGCCCCGGCUAACUUCGUGCCAGCAGCCGCGGUAAUACGAAGGGGGCUAGCGUUGUUCGGAAUUACUGGGCGUAAAGCGCAUGUAGGCGGCGAUUCAAGUCGGGGGUGAAAUCCCAGAGCUCAACUCUGGAACUGCCUUCGAUACUGUAUCGCUAGAGUAUGGAAGAGGUUGGUGGAACUGCAAGUGUAGAGGUGAAAUUCGUAGAUAUUUGCAAGAACACCGGUGGCGAAGGCGGCCAACUGGUCCAUCACUGACGCUGAGAUGCGAAAGCGUGGGGAGCAAA